This is a long non-coding RNA of Carassius auratus (goldfish), 4376 nucleotides long. RefSeq lists it as uncharacterized. The transcript has 2 exons. The record is from RefSeq and is a predicted model, not a curated record. NCBI's taxonomy places the organism in Eukaryota, Metazoa, Chordata, Actinopteri, Cypriniformes, Cyprinidae.
UCUCUUUGUUUUAUUUCUUUAUUUUUUAAAGAUGAUCUUUAGAUACUGUGUAAUUUUACAAAAAUGACUAUGAACUGCUUUACUGUGGCGGUCAAACACUUUUUUUUUCUCCUCAAUCGGUUAUGGAAAUGUUGUCACAAUAUUUUGACAGACAGAUUGUCGUGUGGCUGCACAGAGCGCCGCAGAGAGCGAGACGCCAUUUCUGGCUGCUGGCUGGCUGUGUUGUUUCGAGCCUUCGGAGAAAGUGAGGGAUUGAUCAGUGCAGAGGGGAAGUGAAGCUGAGAUGAAGAGAGGGAGGGAGGGAAGGGGAGGUGCGGGGGGUGGGGGGCGCUCUCGCUGCAGAAUCAGCCGCUCGCUGGCACUCGGUCAUACCGAGAGAGCGAGAGCGGGUCUCACAGACGGCCCAGGUACAGGUACAGAGACACCCGGGACAAGUGUCCGGAAUGGAGGCGCAUGAGCGGAUAACAAAGUCGGCACAGGUUUGAAGGUAGACAGUGUGUGUGUGUGCGCGUGUGUGUGUGUGAGGCACGUGGCAGCCGCUCUCAUUUCCGGGAGUGUCCACACCGUCUGGUCCCUGAAGAUGAACGAUGCUUCUUGUUUGUGGGGGAAGGAGGAGUCUUCAAGGUGUGUAUGUGUGCAUCAGAUGUGUGUUUGCAGUGUAAAUGACAUGCAUGUUUUGGCUGCCGUGUGCGUUAUUGAAUAUGCCUGCAGUUAGCGUUGUGAGGUUGCAUGAUCUCGUCUGUGCUCACAAAGUCACAAAAAAGACAACUUAUUGCAAAAGCAGUGAGGGGGAAUCGCAGGCGCUGCGGGUCUGGGUGGGUGUGGGUUGGUCUUGCGGGGAGCUGUGUAAGACGUUUUUUUUUUGUUUGUUAAUUUUUCCCCAACACCGGCUCUUGAAUGUGGCUGAUCAAUUGCUGCUACAUGUCUUUCGGUGUAAUGGAGUCAGUGGCGGGAGACGAGACGCAGACAGACACACACACACACACACACACGUACACAUACAAGAGGUUCAUGUCUGAAGCUGCAGUCAGAGGCCAGCGGUUCUGCUCACCAGAGAUCCUGAAGAUGAAAAACACCGAACAAAGAGAAAGACAGACAGAGAGACUGACCACCUGACUGGAGGCUUUUCUCAACCAACAAAGGCUAUGUCUGCUCCCUCGACGGAAAACUUCAAAUCCCACCGUUUGCCUUGGUUUCCUCUUACCUGAUCGUUUUUUGGGGUUUGUCUGCUUUUGUGUGCAUGCCAUUUGGUGAAUGAAAUACCUGUGCGCUGCAUGUCUGUGGCUCUAAACUCUGCAAUGAAAAAGGCAAAUUUUAUUUCCUAGGCCGAAAAUUAUUAGCAAUAAUCUUCGUUAUGCUGGACGAAAGAGGACGUGAGUGUGCAACACUUGUCUGUAUGUGUGUGUCACUAACCUGUGUGAACACCGCUGCACUCCUCCUGGUCCCUGAGACCCUAACUUGUGAGCUUUUUGUGCUGAAAAUCACAGGUUAAGCUCUUGGGACCUGGGCAGAGGGCAAAAGCACUCAAUCCCCUGACAGUGUCCCGACUGAGAAGGACUUGGGACGGAUGUCUGUGAGAGAUAAGAAAGAAAAACGUUGGACGAGAGAGAGGAUGAGGUGCUGGUGUGUCUGAGAGAUUGAAUGUUCAAUUUGUGCACAUGCUUAUGAUGAUGAUGAUGAUGAUGAUGGUUUCUUCUGGUUUUUAAAUAAAACUCGAUCCUGUGUGUCUGCUGAGGUGUUUUUUCUUUGGGGUGAGGGGUGCAGGAGAGGGUCGUCUUGCUAAUCGCUCUGUCUGGCUGUCUGGUCGCCACUGCAGCUCGUUUAUAAAUGACCUUUAUCGCAUCGGCAGCAGGAGGAAGUGACGGGAUUAUCAGUUAUUCCCACACCAGUUUCUUUUGGUAUGCGAUUAUCAGUCAUUUAAUUCUUGAUUUAAAAUCUUUUUUGAAAUGUUGCAAAGAUUUUCUCUUAAAUAAAGGUAAAACAUGCAGCCGUUUUUUUCUAGUGCCGCCCUUCGUAGAAGAUGCCAGCACCUGCACUACUAUGAAACAAGUCAGCUUGGAUCUAUCCUCAUGUAUCCACCAGAUGUAAUGUAAUUUUUUUUGUCUAAUCUAGUAACGUAGAAUCUGUCUGAUGCAUAGCCAAAAAAGUCUGUGCAAAAAAAAAAACGAGCAACAUAUUGAACCAACAUAUGCUGACACCUUCAUUUACACAACAACGAUUUCUAUGAAUAGACUUCAUUACUUCUUGAAGACCAGACUUUGCUGUUAGAAGAACAUAAGGCUUGCAGAUUAUUGCGUUUAAAGCCGUCCAUGUUUAUACGUGUCGUCAUGUUGUUUUCGAGCAGAAAUGACAUUGAACUCCAGACGGAUGGUAGUUUUAGAGGGUCCGGCUGGCACGGAGCUGUGGGAUCCUUCCUGUUUUAAGGAUGUGAACUCAUUAAGUCUUACUCCUGGCUUUGUUCUUUAUCUCCUUGGAGUGUUUAACUUUUAAAAACCUAAUUUUGCUAAUUUACCCACAUUAGAAAUGUAGUUUCAAAACAGUUGAUUUCCCCCUAUUGCUCUCUCUCUCUCUCUCUCUCUCUCUCUCUCUCUUUCUCUCUCUCUAAUUAUAUUUUUCCCCUGCUUGGUUUCGCUCUGAACAAUGGCGGAUGCCAACUAAUCAGGCUGGGUCUGUGCCACAAAGCUCCCAGCAACAGCUGAAGCUCUGCCAUGCUCUGUGCAUACCAAGCAGUCAGCCACGACCAGCGAGCGCCAGCCUGGUGCCCAACGCGGGGUCAGACAGUUUUAUUAGGAUCCGUCUGACACUCGGCACAGGCUGGCAGUGCCAACGCACAGAUAAAAUCUUGUGUGUUGCUCACACUAUUCAUCUGAGCUAGCACAUAAAUUCUCCCUCAACCCACACAAUCACACACACACACACACGGACCAUUUCAUCAGCUAGAUGAGAAAAGGAACAAAGACUUGGAUCCAGCCAGGAACAAAGAUUUUGUUAUUUAAUAAACGGCCCAACUUGUGAAUGGUCCAGCAAGCAUCAGGGUCUGAUGUCUCAGCCUCAUUGGCAUGGUUUCAUAUUUACAUUUUUGGCUGACAGCGCAUUGGACUGAGUUUCAUUUGUGUGCAUCAGAGCAAAAAAUGGUUCGUUUUCUGGCUGAUAAGUCUGACCAGCAUUUUCAGAUGGACGUGGGCAUCCAGAAAGAUAGCCAGGCAUGCAAACAAUGAAUUAAUGAAUUUGAAAUAGUUUCAUAUUUAUAAAUAUUUAUCAAUAGUUUAAUAAAUUGUCUGGCUGUCAGAUUAGCUAAAAAUGAAACGGAUAGACUGAGAAAUGUUUAUUCAUAGACUGAUAUAAUAACUUUAUGAAUAAUGAAAUAAUAAAUGAAAUAUUUAAUUCCUAUAAUUCUCAUAAAUUGUGCAUAAACCUUGCUUAAUUGACUUGGAUUUGUGCUUAUAAAGACAGUGCAUUUACUUUUGAAGUCAAAUUAUUUUGUUUGCAGUUUAAAUUAAAUAAAAAAUGCUUGUACUUGUAACAUAAAAUGUGUAUUAUAUCAAUGUACACAAACAUUUUGAAAUAUAAAACAUACCUAACCUGAUAUCGAAUCAUUUAAUUCACAGAAGACCGCAAGAAAGAUUCCCUUGAUAAAUGUCAGGAGAUAAAGACCGGCCACUGAGGAAUUAAAAGAGCCCGCUGAUGGUAUGUGAGUGUGUUCUCACUAAACCGCAUGCGGUUGAAAUAAACGUAACAUUUGUCUGGGAUAAAGCUACUGAAAGUAGAUUAAGCACUGAGAGCUCAGCCGGGAGAAACUGCAGGAGCCGGGUGAAUAUACAGGAUUACAGGAAUCUUUCUUCCAUUGGCUGUCAGGGAUUGUUGUGGUGCAUGCUAUCAGUGCAGGUCAGAGGAAACAGUGGGUCCUUCUCACUGCUCACUGCAGGUACAAAUAACAGGUGCAAACACACAGCCUCACAACGUCUGUGUACAUGUGUGAUGCUGCCACUGACACAGAAUGCACUUGUUCAUUGUGCAGAAUUCAUUGAUGAGCAUAAUGAUGACAAACAUUCAUUUUCCAAUGUACUCAAAUUCUAUUUAAGUGCUCAAAAGUACUGAACAGGUAUUGAUCAUCUGUGCUGUACAUGAGAUUUCGAUUUUUAAUUUCACUUUAAAAUUAAAACAUUUGAAAUCCGAGAUUCUAUUGCAAAUGCUGUUCCAGUUAUCAUAUCGGUUAUUGGCCAUAACAAAUAUUUUGUUAAAACUGAUCAAGUCUUAAAUCUGUUUCAUAUUACUUCCUACAAAAUUUGUUUAUUCAGAAUACCACCGCGUGUUAAUCAAAGCUUGUUUUGUCAUUAUUUGUUGUCACCCUUUUAUUAAAGCAGUAAGCCACUGGA